AUAUUGCACAAUGGGGGAAACCCUGAUGCAGCGACGCCGCGUGAGCGAAGAAGUAUUUCGGUAUGUAAAGCUCUAUCAGCAGGGAAGAAACUGACGGUACCUGACUAAGAAGCACCGGCUAAAUACGUGCCAGCAGCCGCGGUAAUACGUAUGGUGCAAGCGUUAUCCGGAUUUACUGGGUGUAAAGGGAGCGUAGACGGAUAGGCAAGUCUGGAGUGAAAGCCCGGGGCUCAACCCCGGGACUGCUUUGGAAACUGUUUAUCUAGAGUGCUGGAGAGGUAAGUGGAAUUCCUAGUGUAGCGGUGAAAUGCGUAGAUAUUAGGAGGAACACCAGUGGCGAAGGCGGCUUACUGGACUGCAACUGACGCUCAGUCCCGAAAGCGUGGGGAGCAAAUA
Molecule: ribosomal RNA, 396 nt
Filed under: uncultured bacterium
Lineage: Bacteria
Description: bacterial SSU rRNA
Rfam family: Bacterial small subunit ribosomal RNA
Source: RNAcentral